CAUUCCACGUUGAAAACAAGGGUUCUCGUUUGAUCACUGAAGUUAAGCAGCGUCAAGCUUGGUUUGUACUUAGAUGGGUGACCAAUUGUGAACACCAGAUACUGUA
Molecule: non-coding RNA, 106 nt
Organism: Acanthosepion pharaonis
Lineage: Eukaryota; Metazoa; Mollusca; Cephalopoda; Sepiida; Sepiidae
Source: the annotation of a GenBank genome assembly